GACGAACGCUGGCGGCGUGCCUAAUACAUGCAAGUAGAACGCUGAAGGAAGGAGCUUGCUCUUUCUGGAUGAGUUGCGAACGGGUGAGUAACGCGUAGGUAACCUGCCUGGUAGCGGGGGAUAACUAUUGGAAACGAUAGCUAAUACCGCAUAAAAUUGAUUAUUGCAUGAUAGUCAAUUAAAAGGUGCAACUGCACCACUACCAGAUGGACCUGCGUUGUAUUAGCUAGUUGGUGGGGUAACGGCUCACCAAGGCGACGAUACAUAGCCGACCUGAGAGGGUGAUCGGCCACACUGGGACUGGGACACGGCCCAGACUCCUACGGGAGGCAGCAGUAGGGAAUCUUCGGCAAUAGACGGAAGUCUGACCGAGCAACGCCGCGUGAGUGAAGAAGGUUUUCGGAUCGUAAAGCUCUGUUGUAAGAGAAGAACGAGUGUGAGAGUGGAAAGUUCACACUGUGACGGUAUCUUACCAGAAAGGGACGGCUAACUACGUG
This 497-nucleotide ribosomal RNA is filed under the name uncultured bacterium. RNAcentral's name for it is "partial 16S ribosomal RNA". It matches the Rfam family "Bacterial small subunit ribosomal RNA", at positions 28 to 507 of the family's 1533-position model. The record is from RNAcentral.